This 497-nucleotide ribosomal RNA is filed under the name uncultured bacterium. Its description in RNAcentral is "partial 16S ribosomal RNA". It matches the Rfam family "Bacterial small subunit ribosomal RNA", at positions 28 to 507 of the family's 1533-position model. The record is from RNAcentral.
GAUGAACGCUGGCGGCGUGCCUAAUACAUGCAAGUCGAGCGAACGGACGAGAAUCCUUCUUCUCUGAUGUUAGCGGCGGACGGGUGAGUAACACGUGGAUAACCUACCUAUAUGACUGGGAUAACUCCGUGAGACACGAGCUAAUACCGCAUGAUAUUUUGAACCGCAUGGUUCAAGAUUGAAAGACGGUCUUCCUGCUGCUUAUAGAUGAUUCGGCUCUGCAUUAGUUAGUUGGUAAGGUAACGGCUUACCAAGGCGACGAUGCGUAGCCGACCUGAGAGGGUGAUCGGCCACACUGGAACUGAGACACGGUCCAGACUCCUACGGAAGGCAGCAGUAGGGAAUCUUCCGCAAUGGGCGAAAGCCUGACGGAGCAACGCCGCGUGAGUGAUGAAGGUCUUCGGGUCGUAAAGCUCUGUUAUUAGGGAAGAACAGAUGUGUGAGUAACUGUGCUCGUCAUGACGGUACCUAAUCAGAAAGCCCCGGCUAACUACGUG